RNAcentral lists this ribosomal RNA (499 nucleotides) under Hypera postica (alfalfa weevil). RNAcentral's name for it is "partial 16S ribosomal RNA". It matches the Rfam family "Bacterial large subunit ribosomal RNA", at positions 1840 to 2598 of the family's 2925-position model. Lineage: Eukaryota; Metazoa; Arthropoda; Insecta; Coleoptera; Curculionidae. The record is from RNAcentral. RNAcentral also lists the same sequence under 1 other name.
AAAUAAUUUAAGGUCUAACCUGCCCACUGAGGAUUUAAAUGGCCGCGGUACUCUGACCGUGCAAAGGUAGCAUAAUCAUUAGUUUUUUAAUUGAAAGCUGGAAUGAAAGGUUGCAUGAAAAAAUAGCUGUCUCUAUUUAAUUUUUUUAGAAAUUUAUUUUUAAGUAAAAAAGCUUAAAUAAUAUUUGAAGACGAGAAGACCCUAUAGAGUUUUAUUAUUUUGUAUUUAAAAAUUAUUGGUAUUUAGUUAUUUUUAUGUUAAAAAUAAUUUAGUUGGGGUGAUUGAAAAAUUUAACAAACUUUUUUUGUAUUUUUACAUUUAUUUAUGAAUUUUUGAUCCUUUAUUAAAGAUUAAAAGAUAAAAUUACCUUAGGGAUAACAGCGUAAUUUUUUUUAAGAGUUCUAAUCGAAAAAAAAGAUUGCGACCUCGAUGUUGGAUUAAAAUAAAAUUUUGGUGUAGCAGCUAAAGUAUUUGGGUCUGUUCGACCCUUAAAAUUUUA